AGCGUUGCUCGGAAUCACUGGGCGUAAAGGGUGCGUAGGCGGGUCUUUAAGUCAGAGGGGAAAUCCUGGAGCUCAACUCCAGAACUGCCUUUGAUACUGAGGAUCUUGAGUUCGGGAGAGGUGAGUGGAACUGCGAGUGUAGAGGUGAAAUUCGUAGAUAUUCGCAAGAACACCAGUGGCGAAGGCGGCUCACUGGCCCGAUACUGACGCUGAGGCACGAAAGCGUGGGGAGCAAACAGG
RNAcentral lists this ribosomal RNA (240 nucleotides) under uncultured bacterium. Its description in RNAcentral is "partial 16S ribosomal RNA". It matches the Rfam family "Bacterial small subunit ribosomal RNA", at positions 537 to 776 of the family's 1533-position model. The record is from RNAcentral.